Molecule: ribosomal RNA, 233 nt
Filed under: uncultured bacterium
Lineage: Bacteria
Description: partial 16S ribosomal RNA
Rfam family: Bacterial small subunit ribosomal RNA
Source: RNAcentral
CGGACGGGUGAGUAAUGUCUGGGAAACUGCCUGAUGGAGGGGGAUAACUACUGGAAACGGUAGCUAAUACCGCAUAACGUCGCAAGACCAAAGAGGGGGACCUUAGGGCCUCCUUGCCAUCGGAUGUGCCCAGAUGGGAUUAGCUAGUAGGUGGGGUAACGGCUCACCUAGGCGACGAUCCCUAGCUGGUCUGAGAGGAUGACCAGCCACACUGGAACUGAGACACGGUCCAG